AUUGAACGCUGGCGGCAGGCCUAACACAUGCAAGUCGAGCGGAUGAAGGGAGCUUGCUCCUGGAUUCAGCGGCGGACGGGUGAGUAAUGCCUAGGAAUCUGCCUGGUAGUGGGGGAUAACGUCCGGAAACGGGCGCUAAUACCGCAUACGUCCUGAGGGAGAAAGUGGGGGAUCUUCGGACCUCACGCUAUCUGAUGAGCCUAGGCCGGAUUAGCUAGUUGGUGGGGUAAAGGCCUACCAAGGCGACGAUCCGUAACUGGUCUGAGAGGAUGAUCAGUCACACUGGAACUGAGACACGGUCCAGACUCCUACGGGAGGCAGCAGUGGGGAAUAUUGGACAAUGGGCGAAAGCCUGAUCCAGCCAUGCCGCGUGUGUGAAGAAGGUCUUCGGAUUGUAAAGCACUUUAAGUUGGGAGGAAGGGCAGUAAGUUAAUACCUUGCUGUUUUGACGUUACCAACAGAAUAAGCACCGGCUAACUUCGUG
This 484-nucleotide ribosomal RNA is filed under the name uncultured bacterium. Its description in RNAcentral is "partial 16S ribosomal RNA". It matches the Rfam family "Bacterial small subunit ribosomal RNA", at positions 30 to 507 of the family's 1533-position model. The record is from RNAcentral.